AGCGGGGUGGAGCAGUCAGGAGUGCUCGCGGGGCUCAUAACCCCGAGGUCGGAGGUUCAAAUCCUCUCUCCGCUA
Molecule: transfer RNA, 75 nt
Filed under: Candidatus Woesearchaeota archaeon
Lineage: Archaea; Nanobdellati; Candidatus Woesearchaeota
Description: tRNA-Met
Rfam family: tRNA
About the family: Transfer RNA (tRNA) molecules are approximately 80 nucleotides in length. Their secondary structure includes four short double-helical elements and three loops (D, anti-codon, and T loops).
Source: RNAcentral